AUUUAUGUAGUUUAACAAAAACACUACAUUUUCACUGUAAAAAUAAAGAAAAAUUUCAUAAAUA
Molecule: transfer RNA, 64 nt
Filed under: Proneotermes latifrons
Lineage: Eukaryota; Metazoa; Arthropoda; Insecta; Blattodea; Kalotermitidae
Description: tRNA-Glu
Source: RNAcentral